GCCCGGGUGGCGGAACUGGCAGACGCAGAGGGCUUAAACCCCUCGGACCUCUCGAGGUCGUGCGGGUUCGAGUCCCGCCCCGGGCA
This 86-nucleotide transfer RNA is filed under the name Acidimicrobiales bacterium. Its description in RNAcentral is "tRNA-Leu". It matches the Rfam family "tRNA". Rfam says of the family: Transfer RNA (tRNA) molecules are approximately 80 nucleotides in length. Their secondary structure includes four short double-helical elements and three loops (D, anti-codon, and T loops). Further hydrogen bonds mediate the characteristic L-shaped molecular structure. tRNAs have two regions of fundamental functional importance: the anti-codon, which is responsible for specific mRNA codon recognition, and the 3' end, to which the tRNAs corresponding amino acid is attached (by aminoacyl-tRNA synthetases). tRNAs cope with the degeneracy of the genetic code in two manners: having more than one tRNA (with a specific anti-codon) for a particular amino acid; and 'wobble' base-pairing, i.e. permitting non-standard base-pairing at the 3rd anti-codon position. The record is from RNAcentral. Lineage: Bacteria; Bacillati; Actinomycetota; Acidimicrobiia; Acidimicrobiales.